This 688-nucleotide long non-coding RNA is filed under the name Homo sapiens (human). RNAcentral's name for it is "non-protein coding lnc-ZSWIM6-6:3". The record is from RNAcentral. Lineage: Eukaryota; Metazoa; Chordata; Mammalia; Primates; Hominidae.
AGAAUAAUUGGGAGGAGUCUGGCAGGAAGGAAGCCAAGUUUCCUGAGGCCCUCACCAGAAGCUCAUCAGAAGCAGAUGCUGGCACCACUCUUCUUAUGCUGUCUGCGUAACUAAUCAGUAUUUCAAGCAUCCAAAAUGUGUAGGAGAAUAUGGACCCAAGAACGGAGCAGAGAGACAAAUAGAGGAACGGAAAGUUUUGCCUACAACCAUGAUGUUCUCAAUGUUAGCUGACUGUGUUCUAAAAUCCACUCCAAUUCCCAUUUUGGGAGUUGCUAUGUGAUGAAGGUCUGCCCCUGUGGUGUUGGGACAACUUGCUCAUGGAGUUGCAGUUCUUGCCUAACAGGAACCCACCAUGAGCUGCCUCCUGCCCCUGAGGGGAGGAGUCCAUCCUCUUCUAUAGGAUACACCUGUUGGCUUGUUUGUCCUUCCUUCCCCUUUCUGGGAAUUGUUCUCCAUCAACAUGUUUAUGGGGACAGCCAUUUCUAUACAAUGUGACCUGUAUUGAUCUAUUUUGUGUUGCUAUAAAUAAAUACCUGAGGCUGGUAAUUUUUAAAGAAGAGAGGUUAAUUUGGCCCAUAAUUCUGCAGGCUGUACAAGAAGCAUGGCACCAGCAUCUGCUUCUGGUGAGGCCGCAGGAAGCUUCCACUCAUGGUGGAAGGUGGAGGAGGAGCAGGCGUGUUAUAUGGCA